ACGCGAAGAACCUUACCUACUCUUGACAUCCAGAGAACUUAGCAGAGAUGCUUUGGUGCCUUCGGGAACUCUGAGACAGGUGCUGCAUGGCUGUCGUCAGCUCGUGUUGUGAAAUGUUGGGUUAAGUCCCGCAACGAGCGCAACCCUUAUCCUUUGUUGCCAGCGGUCCGGCCGGGAACUCAAAGGAGACUGCCAGUGAUAAACUGGAGGAAGGUGGGGAUGACGUCAAGUCAUCAUGGCCCUUACGAGUAGGGCUACACACGUGCUACAAUGGCGCAUACAAAGAGAAGCGACCUCGCGAGAGCAAGCGGACCUCAUAAAGUAUGUCGUAGUCCGGAUUGGAGUCUGCAACUCGACUCC
Molecule: ribosomal RNA, 360 nt
Filed under: uncultured Enterobacter sp.
Lineage: Bacteria; Pseudomonadati; Pseudomonadota; Gammaproteobacteria; Enterobacterales; Enterobacteriaceae
Description: SSU rRNA
Rfam family: Bacterial small subunit ribosomal RNA
Source: RNAcentral